GAUGAACGCUGGCGGCGUGCCUAAUACAUGCAAGUCGAGCGAACAGACGAGGAGCUUGCUCCUCUGACGUUAGCGGCGGACGGGUGAGUAACACGUGGAUCACCUCCCUAUAAGACUGGGAUCUCUUCGGGAAACCGGCGCUAAUACCGGAUAAUAUAUUGAACCGCAUGGUUCAAUAGUGAAAGACGGUUUUGCUGUCUCUUCUAGAUGGAUCCGCGCCUCAUUAGCUAGUUGGUAAGGUAACGGCUUACCAAGGGUACGAUGCGUAGCCGACCGCAGAGAGUGGUCGGCCACACUGGAGCUGAGACACGGUCCAGACGCCUACGGGAGGCAGCAGAAGGGAAUCUUACGCAGUGGGCGAAAACAUGACGGAGCAACGCCGCGUGAGAGAUGAAGGUCUUCGGAUCGUAAAACUCUGUUAUUAGGGAAGAACAAAUGUGUAAUUAACUAUGCACGUCGUGACGGUACCGAAUAAGAAAGCCACGGCUAACUACGUG
Molecule: ribosomal RNA, 497 nt
Filed under: uncultured bacterium
Lineage: Bacteria
Description: partial 16S ribosomal RNA
Rfam family: Bacterial small subunit ribosomal RNA
Source: RNAcentral